Long non-coding RNA from Alosa sapidissima (American shad), 1048 nucleotides. RefSeq lists it as uncharacterized. The record is from RefSeq and is a predicted model, not a curated record. The transcript has 3 exons. Lineage: Eukaryota; Metazoa; Chordata; Actinopteri; Clupeiformes; Clupeidae.
UGCAACUUGAGAGAGGGAAGCAGGCGUGAGCAAAAUAAGACAAAUUUUGAGGCCUAGCCCAAGCUAAUGGUAUUAGCUAACAUUCAUUUGCGACGUUGUUUUCUUCAAAUAUAUAGCAAUGUCGAUCAGUUGUCUAACAAAGGAUGAUCUCUGAAUUAAUCGGUUCACGAAACUGAUCAAAACAAAGGCUGUACACGGACUGCUGAAUGAUUGGAAGCAAACACUGGCUAUUUCAAUGCACUUUUAACCCAUUUGUCUAUUCAGAGUUAUUUUCCUUAGUCGUUAGUAGCCUAAGUAUGGAUUGAAUCUUGCUUUAUCUCACACCACACUUGUAAAAUAUUGUCUUGCAUAUAGAAUUAACUAACCAGCGUCAACAUAACUUCAUAGGCCUAAUUCGUUAUAUCAAAUCCAACAAUUAAUAAAUGAUGAACCUAUAGGCCUAUGUUUAGCUUCCUAGAUGCAGUAUGCUUCCUAAGAUCUCUUGCAGCAAAACUAUGACCUGUCAGUGGGGCCUGGAAACUAUUGUUGCUGUGAGAGUUGAAUGACCAGCAUGCCAACAGCGCAGGGCUUCAGACCAUCAAGAGAGUGAGGGGAAGUAGUCUGCCAGUGAGGGAAGUACCAACCGGAGACAACGAUUUAAAAUGACAGUUACACUGCUAUGCCCUCCUCUGUGGCAGGGGCGAGGGUUCUCCAUGCCAGAUGUUUGGCCAGAAGCGAACACCUGUUGGAUGCCAUUUUGAGCUGAUGAAGAUGAAGAUGAUGCUGGCCAACUUCGAUGCUAACUGGCUGAAGCUAACCCUCUGAAUGCUGACCCCCGGGUUACUCUCUGCUCCUGCACCAUGACCUCGUGGGAAGUGAAUCUUUGGACAGGCUCGCCCACGGUCACGGCUGAUCACUUGCACAGCUGCGGUUGAAUGCUCCCGAGAUUAUUUAUGGUUGCAGAUGUCUCAACAGAGAAGAUAAACAUGGAGCAAUGUACGAUAUUCUACAUUCGUGCCUCUUUGAUUAAACGCUAAUGCAAUCGAUCACUGAACCAGUGAAGAUGGAA